RNAcentral lists this ribosomal RNA (474 nucleotides) under uncultured bacterium. Its description in RNAcentral is "bacterial SSU rRNA". It matches the Rfam family "Bacterial small subunit ribosomal RNA", at positions 328 to 793 of the family's 1533-position model. The record is from RNAcentral.
CGCUAUCACUCCUACGGGAGGCAGCAGUGGGGAAUAUUGCACAAUGGGGGAAACCCUGAUGCAGCCAUGCCGCGUGUGUGAAGAAGGCCUUCGGGUUGUAAAGCACUUUCAGUAGGGAGGAAGGUAGUGUAGUUAACACCUGCAUUAUUUGACGUUUACCUACAGAAGAAGCACCGGCUAACUCCGUGCCAGCAGCCGCGGUAAUACGGAUGGUGCGAGCGUUAAUCGGAAUUACUGGGCGUAAAGCGCAUGCAGGCGGCCUGUUAAGUCAGAUGUGAAAGCCCGGGGCUUAACCUCGGAAUUGCAUUUGAAACUGGCAGGCUAGAGUCUUGUAGAGGGGGUAGAAUUUCAGGUGUAGCGGUGAAAAUGCGUAGAGAUCUGAAGGAAUACCAGUGGCGAAGGCGGCCCCCUGGACAAAGACUGACGCUCAGAUGCGAAAGCGUGGGGAGCAAACAGGAUUAGAUACCCUGGUAG